Molecule: ribosomal RNA, 472 nt
Filed under: Daphnia pulicaria
Lineage: Eukaryota; Metazoa; Arthropoda; Branchiopoda; Diplostraca; Daphniidae
Description: eukaryotic LSU rRNA
Rfam family: Eukaryotic large subunit ribosomal RNA (bases 1-223)
Source: RNAcentral
GUUUAGACCGUCGUGAGACAGGUUAGUUUUACCCUACUGACGACCAUAGAAGAAAUGUUAUUGCGAUAGUAAUCCUGCGAAGUACGAGAGGAACCGCAGGUUCGGACAGUUGGUUGGCGCACUUGGUCGAGCGGCCAGUGGUGCGAGGCUACGUCCGGAUGAUUAUACCUGAAGGCCUCUGAAGGUAGAAUCGAUGCUGGAGGAAGGCAAUGAUACGCAGCGUCUUUUGACUCGUUUCGACGUUUUAUCUGGGUGGCUAUAACGAGACCCGUCUCGGUUAGAGAUUAAAACUCGCUCCAUCAGCGAGGGGGUUCCGGCCUUUUCGUUUCGUUUCGGACGAAUGCCUGGUCGGCGCUUCAUUCUCGAGYCCGCGGGUUUUCAGAGGGGAGGUUCGCUGACGGCUAUGCUGGGUAUCCGCUACGGGAAUGCCAGUCAUGCUCCGGUUCGCCUCUUUCUUUUUACCCGACUAAAG